RNAcentral lists this unclassified non-coding RNA (209 nucleotides) under Hevea brasiliensis (rubber tree). The record is from RNAcentral. Lineage: Eukaryota; Viridiplantae; Streptophyta; Magnoliopsida; Malpighiales; Euphorbiaceae.
GCGGCUAUAAUUAUUCAAUUGCAAAAGAAUCCCAAGACCCAAUAGCAAUUGGAAUCCAAGAAAAGUGAGUCCCUGAAAGGGUGUCAAGACACCACUAGCAACUGGCCUUGACCUUGUUCUUUCCACCUUAGUAUCGAUAUCUCGAUCAAGAAGAUCGUUAACGGUACAUCCAGCACCUCGCAAAAGCAAAGCCCCACAACCAAAUAGUG